AUUGAACGCUGGCGGCAUGCUUUACACAUGCAAGUCGAACGGUAACAGGCCGCAAGGUGCUGACGAGUGGCGCACGGGUGAGUAAUGCAUCGGAACGUGCCCAGUCGUGGGGGAUAACUACUCGAAAGAGUAGCUAAUACCGCAUACGAUCUAUGGAUGAAAGCGGGGGACCGUAAGGCCUCGCGCGAUUGGAGCGGCCGAUGUCAGAUUAGGUAGUUGGUGGGGUAAAGGCUCACCAAGCCAACGAUCUGUAGCUGGUCUGAGAGGACGACCAGCCACACUGGGACUGAGACACGGCCCAGACUCCUACGGGAGGCAGCAGUGGGGAAUUUUGGACAAUGGGCGCAAGCCUGAUCCAGCAAUGCCGCGUGGAGGAAGAAGGCCUUCGGGUUGGAAACCUCUUUUGUUAGGGAAGAAAAGGCUUUUGUUUAAACCCGGGGCUAAUGACGGUACCGUAAGAAUAAGCACCGGCUAACUACGUG
This 482-nucleotide ribosomal RNA is filed under the name uncultured bacterium. Its description in RNAcentral is "partial 16S ribosomal RNA". It matches the Rfam family "Bacterial small subunit ribosomal RNA", at positions 30 to 507 of the family's 1533-position model. The record is from RNAcentral.